RNAcentral lists this long non-coding RNA (624 nucleotides) under Malus domestica (apple). RNAcentral's name for it is "long non-coding RNA (MDOM_LNC010732)". Lineage: Eukaryota; Viridiplantae; Streptophyta; Magnoliopsida; Rosales; Rosaceae. The record is from RNAcentral.
GCAUUAGUGGAUUUACUGCUUUGGAUGUCCCACCUCCCCGCGGACCUCUCUGGUACAAUCUGCCAUCUAUUAUAGACUUCUAUUUAGGAAUUUUGUUUGGGUCAAUAAAUAUUUCAUAUGUUGGUAUAAUUUGAUGGACAUCUCAAUUCUAAUAUCGUCGAUGGAAAACAAUCUUCCUCUUCAACUAAGGUCAAUAAAACAAUUUUCUUCUCCAACUAAAGUAAAUAUCGCUCGCUAAAAUUUCUCUUCAUUGACCUAAUCCUAACAUUGAAAUAUCUUUGUGACCGCAAACAAAUUACCCCUCAGUUUUACGAUCCUCUUGCUUUUGUCAAGAUAAUUGUGGUGAUAUACUUUUGUUUCUCCAAUGGAAGUUGUGAAGUUCGUUGGUUGCAUGAUCCUUUCUUUCUUGUUGGCAAGAGAGCGACUCGAAAGGAAAUUACUAAUGUUUUGUUUUUUGUGACAGGAUCUUGGGAGAUGUAUUCAUGGGUCGCUAUCAUACUGUGUUUGACUAUGGCAAUGAGAGAAUCGGUUUUGCGGAAGCUGCAUAGAUAAAUAUUAGCUUCGCAUGUGCAGCUUGUGCUCCUCGCUUAUUCUCACUUUUACAUAUUGGAGUUUCAGAGUAUC